GACGAACGCUGGCGGCGUGCCUAAUACAUGCAAGUAGGACGCAGUUGCGAACGGGUGAGUAACGCGUAGGUGACUACCUAUUAGAGGGGGAUAACUAUUGGAAACGAUAGCUAAUACCGCCUACUAGUAGAUGGACCUGCGUUGUAUUAGCUAGUUGGUAGGGUAAUGGCCUACCUAGGCAACGAUACAUAGCCGAGCUGGGGGGGUGAUCCACCCACAUUGGACUGGGACACGGGCCAGACUCCUACGGGAAGCAGCAGUAGGGGAUCUUCGGACAUGGGGGGAACCCUGACCGAGCAACUGCGCGUGAGUGGAGAAGGUUUUCGGAUCUUAAAGCUCUGUUGUUAAGGAAGCGGUACUUAACCAGAAAGGGACGGCUAACUACGUGCCAGCAGCCGCGGUAAUUC
RNAcentral lists this ribosomal RNA (407 nucleotides) under uncultured bacterium. RNAcentral describes it as "partial 16S ribosomal RNA". It matches the Rfam family "Bacterial small subunit ribosomal RNA", at positions 28 to 526 of the family's 1533-position model. The record is from RNAcentral.